This 1175-nucleotide small RNA is filed under the name Daphnia pulex (common water flea). RNAcentral's name for it is "uncharacterized LOC124207004, transcript variant X2". The record is from RNAcentral. Lineage: Eukaryota; Metazoa; Arthropoda; Branchiopoda; Diplostraca; Daphniidae.
UAACUUUUUUUUGUUAAAUGGAUUACCAUAAAAAAAAGGUUUUCAAUUUUAAUACAAUUUAUAACUAAAUUUUUUUUUAGCUAAACCUCUUGGGGGGAAUCAAUCUUAUCAGAUUACGAAUUUGUUAAUAAUUUUAAAUUUUGCAUACCCUUUCUUAGAGAUUACCCUUUAAUAGAUUAAGAGUAUUUGGAAGGAGAUAAUGAGUCGAACUAUCAUUAUAAUUAUUGUGACUUCAGUGACUUCAGUUCUGAUUCUAAUAAAUCUGAUUCCGACAGCUCAUACGUGUAAGCAAACACCUCUGAGGAUUUAUCAGAAACAUCAAUGGAUAAAAAACAAGACUUGAAUAGCUCAGUUUAAACACCUCUCAUGACCUAUCGGAAACAGAGCUGGAGAAACAAAACAAGACGAUGUACCAAAAGAAAUCUCUGAAAAUUUUCAAAGGGAAGCUGAAUUGGAAGUCGUAGAUGAUGAAAAAUUAUAAACUCUCGCAAAGUCUCGAAAACUCUGGAAAAGUUUCAAACUUUACAUUAAUUUCAAAAUAAGUGAAAGUUGAAGAAAUGGAAGGAAGUGAAUUGGAGAAUUGGAGAAUCUUUGUGAAAAAUGUGGUUUGAAGCAGGAUUCAACAAAUUCUGCUUGUGUUAAAUCGAACACUAAUCUCCCUUCAGAUGAUACCGAGGAACAGCAAGUAUUGGAAGUCAUGAAUGAAGACGGAGGAAAGCAAGAUUUACCAGAACUGACUUUGGAAAUUGGUGAAGCACUCGAUGAAUUUGAAAACCUUUAUGAUGACAAAAUCAUUCUGAAACGAAAUGUGAAGAAAUACUACAGGAUUGAAUUUGCGAAAAAAGCCAAACUGGAUAGCAUGAACGCUACUUUUUCGAUCGUCAGUAUCAAAACAGUGAAGAUGGUGUCUCAGAUGUUGGAGAAGGUGGUUUUGAUUCUUCGGGCAGUAAUGAUGGAGAAGAUUACGGAGACGAUGAAGGAUCCGAAGAAAGCAGUCUGUGCAGCAGCUUGUCCCACUGCACGACUGAAUCGGAGUCCGAGGACAAUGAAGAGUUUCUUUAAUUCACUUUGUAGCAGCUUUAAACCCUUUUAAAAUUAAUGUAAAUGCCCUGUUUUUGGUACUGUUCGAACACAACUGAUGUAACUCAGAAAUAAAUCGUCGCUGAUAAAUUGAA